UAACCACAUAAAAAGCCGAUCAGCAUCCA
Molecule: non-coding RNA, 29 nt
Filed under: Mus musculus (house mouse)
Lineage: Eukaryota; Metazoa; Chordata; Mammalia; Rodentia; Muridae
Source: RNAcentral